GAUGAACGCUGGCGGCGUGCUUAACACAUGCAAGUCGAACGGAAAGGCUCCUGCUUGCAGGGGUACUCGAGUGGCGAACGGGUGAGUAACACGUGGGUGAUCUGCCCUGCACUUCGGGAUAAGCCUGGGAAACUGGGGCUAAUACCGGAUAGGACGAUGGUUUGGAUGCCAUUGUGGAAAGUUUUUCGGUGGGGGAUGAGCUCGCGGCCUAUCAGCUUGUUGGUGGGGUAAUGGCCUACCAAGGCGUCGACGGGUAGCCGGCCUGAGAGGGUGUACGGCCACAUUGGGACUGAGAUACGGCCCAGACUCCUACGGGAGGCAGCAGUGGGGAAUAUUGCACAAUGGGCGCAAGCCUGAUGCAGCGACGCCGCGUGGGGGAUGACGGCCUUCGGGUUGUAAACUCCUUUCGCUAGGGACGAAGCGCAAGUGACGGUACCUGGAGAAGAAGCACCGGCUAACUACGUG
This 465-nucleotide ribosomal RNA is filed under the name uncultured bacterium. Its description in RNAcentral is "partial 16S ribosomal RNA". It matches the Rfam family "Bacterial small subunit ribosomal RNA", at positions 28 to 507 of the family's 1533-position model. The record is from RNAcentral.